RNAcentral lists this ribosomal RNA (253 nucleotides) under uncultured bacterium. RNAcentral's name for it is "partial 16S ribosomal RNA". It matches the Rfam family "Bacterial small subunit ribosomal RNA", at positions 524 to 776 of the family's 1533-position model. The record is from RNAcentral.
UACGUAGGGUGCGAGCGUUAAUCGGAAUUACUGGGCGUAAAGCGUGCGCAGGCGGUUUUCCAAGACAGAUGUGAAAUCCCCGGGCUCAACCUGGGAAUGGCAUUUGUGACUGGCGAGCUAGAGUAUGGCAGAGGGGGGUAGAAUUCCACGUGUAGCAGUGAAAUGCGUAGAGAUGUGGAGGAAUACCGAUGGCGAAGGCAGCCCCCUGGGCCAAUACUGACGCUCAUGCACGAAAGCGUGGGGAGCAAACAGG